AGCAGUGGUCUAAUGGUAGGACGCUGGCUUAGGGAUCGAGAGGUCCUGGGUUCGAAUCCCUGACCGCUG
This 69-nucleotide transfer RNA is filed under the name Dreissena polymorpha. RNAcentral's name for it is "tRNA-Pro". It matches the Rfam family "tRNA". From Rfam's summary of the family: Transfer RNA (tRNA) molecules are approximately 80 nucleotides in length. Lineage: Eukaryota; Metazoa; Mollusca; Bivalvia; Myida; Dreissenidae. The record is from RNAcentral.